UUUGAUCCUGGCCCGUUUGGAAAGAAAUUGAUCCUGGCUCAGAUUGAACGCUGGCGGCAGGCCUAACACAUGCAAGUCGAGCGGUAGAGAGGUGCUUGCACCUCUUGAGAGCGGCGGACGGGUGAGUAAUGCCUAGGAAUCUGCCUGGUAGUGGGGGAUAACGCUCGGAAACGGACGCUAAUACCGCAUACGUCCUACGGGAGAAAGCAGGGGACCUUCGGGCCUUGCGCUAUCAGAUGAGCCUAGGUCGGAUUAGCUAGUUGGUGAGGUAAUGGCUCACCAAGGCGACGAUCCGUAACUGGUCUGAGAGGAUGAUCAGUCACACUGGAACUGAGACACGGUCCAGACUCCUACGGGAGGCAGCAGUGGGGAAUAUUGGACAAUGGGCGAAAGCCUGAUCCAGCCAUGCCGCGUGUGUGAAGAAGGUCUUCGGAUUGUAAAGCACUUUAAGUUGGGAGGAAGAACCAUUACCUAAUACGUGAGGUUUUGACGUUACCGACAGAAUAACACGGGCAUCACG
This 520-nucleotide ribosomal RNA is filed under the name Pseudomonas lini. RNAcentral's name for it is "bacterial SSU rRNA". It matches the Rfam family "Bacterial small subunit ribosomal RNA", at positions 1 to 502 of the family's 1533-position model. The record is from RNAcentral. Lineage: Bacteria; Pseudomonadati; Pseudomonadota; Gammaproteobacteria; Pseudomonadales; Pseudomonadaceae.